This 593-nucleotide ribosomal RNA is filed under the name Chlorociboria poutoensis. RNAcentral's name for it is "partial large subunit ribosomal RNA". It matches the Rfam family "Eukaryotic large subunit ribosomal RNA", at positions 81 to 687 of the family's 3401-position model. Lineage: Eukaryota; Fungi; Ascomycota; Leotiomycetes; Helotiales; Chlorociboriaceae. The record is from RNAcentral.
UAGUAACGGCGAGUGAAGCGGUAACAGCUCAAAUUUGAAAUCUGGCUCUCGUAGGGCCCGAGUUGUAAUUUGGAGAAAAUGCUUUGGGUGCGGCCCGGGUCUAAGUUCCUUGGAACAGGACGUCAGAGAGGGUGAGAAUCCCGUAUGUGAUUGGGUGCCCGCGCCCGUGUAAAGCUCUUUCGACGAGUCGAGUUGUUUGGGAAUGCAGCUCAAAAUGGGUGGUAUAUUUCAUCUAAAGCUAAAUAUAGGCCAGAGACCGAUAGCGCACAAGUAGAGUGAUCGAAAGAUGAAAAGCACUUUGGAAAGAGAGUUAAACAGUACGUGAAAUUGUUGAAAGGGAAGCGCUUGCAACCAGACUUGCGUGCGGCCCGUCACCUGGUGCUCGCACCGGGGCACUGGGUCGCGCGCAGGCCAGCAUCGGUUUGGGUGGUUGGAGAAAGGCCGGGAGAACGUGGCUCCCCUCCGGGGAGUGUUACAGCUCUCGGUGCCAUGCAGCCUACCCAGACCGAGGACCGCGCUCCGGCUAGGAUGCUGGCGUAAUGGUUGCAAGCGACCCGUCUUGAAACACGGACCAAGGAGUCUAACAUCUAUGC